ACCUCGUUUUUCUAAGUUUCCUCAAUUCCCACCAUCCGGUUACUUAGCUUAUCACAGGUCGUACUAAAUUUACACUGUAAAAUUUGGCUUUGCGUCUACUUGGAGUAAGACAUGUGCCUUUGUUAUGACACAGGAAGCCCACAGGUUACACUGACCCCAUAAUCAAACAAAGAAAUGAGAGGAAAUGGACCCUUCUCAAAAUUAUCUUGAAUGUGAAACUUACGUGGAAAUGCGAAAGAAUUGCCACAAAUUCCACCUAAAUAGCUGUGAUUUAUUUCGUAUUUACUAAUAAAACUAAAUUGUCUGGUAGAAAGUCCUGUUAUCAAGCAAAAUCUUCAGCCUCUUUCAAAUACAACAAUGAGAAGAGAGAAGAUAGCUGGAAUAAGACAAUCGAACUGUAAAAAAGAAAACUAAAUGCGCAAGGCAAGAUAGUUAAACGUCGUAAAAAAAUAAGUUAAAGUAACUGCAUGGACAUUCCCGAGAUAACCAGAACCACUAAAGAUAGGCAAGGCUGGAGUAAAAUAUCUACUUUAAGACUGCGAAAAAGUACAGACACUUCUUUGAAGUUGCAGAGAAACUCGCCAAACCAACGGUGCGAAUAGAAGACUAAGGGUUGUGACACUGAGAAUGAGGAGAUAGACCUACAAAAAUGAGAUGAAAUCUUCUAGCACGACUUCCAAGGACAAAUGAGAACUCACUGACCUGCGCCAGACCUGCUGCUACUAUAUACUUGCUAUUGUUUGAGUUGGGAAGAAACAGGCGAAGCACGAAAACCCCUACUAAAAACUAUAGAUAAAAAAGAAAAAAGAGAAAAAGAAAGAAAAAUAAGAUAAGUGUUGGUAUAACACAUCUUUCGCUUAUUCCAUUUAUCUUACUUACAUAGGUUUUGCAUUCAUGUUUAUCCAUUUUUCUUUGCAAAUACCAUAGAAUUGAAGUUAAAUUCCAUUUGCAUCCCACACUUACCCUAUUUUCAUUGCAAAUUUUCAGAUUUUUACAGCCUAUUCUACCCAUAUAUUUUCUCGAAUAAUCUCAGCAAAAAUAUACCCCUUUUAUUUGCAAUGAUUUCACUUUUCCCUUGAGCUUAUCCAAUUUUCUCCUUUUUUGUCACAAUGAGGAAGAAGUAAAGACCGUCCCGAGGUAUCCUACCUUUAAGACUACGACACCAAAGGUUAACGUUAAAGUGACAGAUAGUUCACUUAAAACGAAUGAAGGAAACACAUGCAGACCUAUAAAAAAAGCAAAAAAUAAACAAGACAAGAAAUCCUUAAUGGGCUCCACUAAAUGCACAACCUACGAAAGCAGAAAAACUAUCUUGAGAAAAGGAAUAGGCAGGCUAUUACUAGAAUGGCUAAAAACAAAACCACAUAAAAUCAAAGUUACAUCAUAAGACAUGCAACAGGCUAGAGAUAUGGUACCUGUUUAAC
RNAcentral lists this long non-coding RNA (1424 nucleotides) under Actinia tenebrosa (Australian red waratah sea anemone). Its description in RNAcentral is "uncharacterized LOC116301651, transcript variant X2". Lineage: Eukaryota; Metazoa; Cnidaria; Anthozoa; Actiniaria; Actiniidae. The record is from RNAcentral.